UGUGGUUUGUUAGGUGACUUAGCUGGUUGGAAAUGGUUGAGUCUAGGGACUUUGAAUGGGAUUUUUUUUGUUUUCAAGGUGGUUUGUUAGGUGACUUAGUUGGUUGGAAAUGGUUAAGUCUAGGGACUUUGAAGGGGAUUUUUUUAUUUUGAAUGUGGUUUAUUUGGUGACUUAGUCACUUGAAAAUGGUUAAGUCUAGGGUCUUU
RNAcentral lists this long non-coding RNA (206 nucleotides) under Capsicum annuum. Its description in RNAcentral is "long non-coding RNA (CANN_LNC007658)". Lineage: Eukaryota; Viridiplantae; Streptophyta; Magnoliopsida; Solanales; Solanaceae. The record is from RNAcentral.